This 442-nucleotide ribosomal RNA is filed under the name uncultured bacterium. RNAcentral describes it as "bacterial SSU rRNA". It matches the Rfam family "Bacterial small subunit ribosomal RNA", at positions 338 to 795 of the family's 1533-position model. The record is from RNAcentral.
CCUACGGGCGGCUGCAGUAAGGAAUCUUCCGCAAUGGGCGAAAGCCUGACGGAGCGACACCGCGUGGAGGACGACGGCCUUCGGGUUGUAAACUCCUUUUCUGAGGGAAGAAAAUCUGACGGUACCUCAGGAAUAAGCCCCGGCUAAUUACGUGCCAGCAGCCGCGGUAAUACGUAAGGGGCAAGCGUUAUCCGGAAUAAUUGGGCGUAAAGCGUCCGCAGGCGGUUCUAUAAGUCUGUCAUUAAAUACCAGCGCUUAACGUUGGUGCCGUGAUGGAAACUGUAGAACUAGAGGAUGAGAGAGGCAUAUGGAAUUGCACAAGUAGGGGUAAAAUCCGUAGAUAUGUGCAGGAACACCAAAAGCGAAGGCAGUAUGCUGGAUCAUUCCUGACGCUCAGGGACGAAAGCGUGGGUAGCAAAACGGAUUAGAUACCCCGGUAGUC